Molecule: ribosomal RNA, 407 nt
Filed under: uncultured bacterium
Lineage: Bacteria
Description: partial 16S ribosomal RNA
Rfam family: Bacterial small subunit ribosomal RNA
Source: RNAcentral
AUUGAACGCUGGCGGCAGGCCUAACACAUGCAAGUCGAGCGGAGCGGCGGACGGGUGCGUAAUGCCUAGGAAUCUGCCUGGUAGUGGGGGAUAACGUCCGGAAACGGGCGCUAAUACCGCAUACUCUCAGAUGAGCCUAGGUCGGAUUAGCUAGUUGGGGUGGUAACGGCUUACCAAGGCGACGAUCCGUAGCUGGUCUGAGAGGAUGAUCAGUCACACUGGAACUGAGACACGGUCCAGACUCCUACGGGAGGCAGCAGUGGGGAAUAUUGGACAAUGGGCGCAAGCCUGAUCCAGCCAUGCCGCGUGUGUGAAGAAGGUCUUCGGGUUGUAAAGCACUUUAAGUUGGGAGGCGUUACCAGCAGAAUAAGCACCGGCUAACUUCGUGCCAGCAGCCGCGGUAAUAC